UACGUAGGGUGCAAGCGUUAUCCGGAAUUAUUGGGCGUAAAGAGCUCGUAGGCGGUUUGUCGCGUCUGCUGUGAAAACUGGAGGCUCAACCUCCAGCCUGCAGUGGGUACUGGCAAACUAGAGUGCGGUAGGGGAGAUUGGAAUUCCUGGUGUAGCGGUGGAAUGCGCAGAUAUCAGGAGGAACACCGAUGGCGAAGGCAGAUCUCUGGGCCGUAACUGACGCUGAGGAGCGAAAGCAUGGGGAGCGAACAGG
RNAcentral lists this ribosomal RNA (253 nucleotides) under uncultured bacterium. RNAcentral's name for it is "partial 16S ribosomal RNA". It matches the Rfam family "Bacterial small subunit ribosomal RNA", at positions 524 to 776 of the family's 1533-position model. The record is from RNAcentral.